AGCUCAAAUUUAAAAUCUGGCAGUCUUASUGUCCGAGUUGUAAUCUGGAGAAGCAUUUUCUGUGUCGGACCGUGUACAAGUCUCUUGGAAUAGAGCGUCAUAGAGGGUGAGAAUCCCGUCCAUGACACGGACGCCCGAUGCUUUGYGACAUGCUCUCGAAGAGUCGAGUUGUUUGGGAAUGCAGCUCAAAAUGGGUGGUAAAUUCCAUCUAAAGCUAAAUAUUGGCGAGAGACCGAUAGCGAACAAGUACCGUGAGGGAAAGAUGAAAAGCACUUUGGAAAGAGAGUUAAACAGUACGUGAAAUUGUUGAAAGGGAAACGCUUGAAGUCAGUCGCGUUGUCUGAGACUCAGCCUUGCUUUUGCUCGGUGUACUUCUUAGUUAACGGGUCAACAUCAAUUUUGGUUGGUGGAUAAAGGCAUUGGGAAUGUGGCACCUUCGGGUGUGUUUAUAGCCCUUUGUUGCAUACAUUGACUGGGAUUGAGGACUGCAGCACGCCGUCAUGGUCCGGGGGUUC
This 515-nucleotide ribosomal RNA is filed under the name Xylodon magnificus. Its description in RNAcentral is "partial large subunit ribosomal RNA". Lineage: Eukaryota; Fungi; Basidiomycota; Agaricomycetes; Hymenochaetales; Schizoporaceae. The record is from RNAcentral.